AGUGAACGCUGGCGGUAGGCCUAACACAUGCAAGUCGAACGGCAGCACAGUAAGAGCUUGCUCUUACGGGUGGCGAGUGGCGGACGGGUGAGGAAUACAUCGGAAUCUACUUUUUCGUGGGGGAUAACGUAGGGAAACUUACGCUAAUACCGCAUACGACCUACGGGUGAAAGCAGGGGAUCUUCGGACCUCGCGCGAUUGAAUGAGCCGAUGUCGGAUUAGCUAGUUGGCGGGGUAAAGGCCCACCAAGGCGACGAUCCGUAGCUGGUCUGAGAGGAUGAUCAGCCACACUUGAACUGAGACACGGUCCAGACUCCUACGGGAGGCAGCAGUGGGGAAUAUUGGACAAUGGGCGCAAGCCUGAUCCAGCCAUACCGCGUGGGUGAAGAAGGCCUUCGGGUUGUAAAGCCCUUUUGUUGGGAAAGAAAAGCAGCAGGUUAAUACCCCGCUGUUCUGACGGUACCCAAAGAAUAAGCACCGGCUAACUUCGUG
This 492-nucleotide ribosomal RNA is filed under the name uncultured bacterium. Its description in RNAcentral is "partial 16S ribosomal RNA". It matches the Rfam family "Bacterial small subunit ribosomal RNA", at positions 29 to 507 of the family's 1533-position model. The record is from RNAcentral.